AUUGAACGCUGGCGGCAGGCCUAACACAUGCAAGUCGAGCGAGCGGCGGACGGGUGAGUCAUGUCAGUGAAACUGCCUGUUGGAGGGGGCUAACUACUGGAAACGGUAGCUAAUACCGCAUACCAUCAGAUGUGCCCCGAUGGGCUUAGCUAGUGGGUGGGGUAAUGGCUCACCUAGGCGACGAUCCCUAGCUGGUCUGAGAGGAUGACCAGCCACACUGGAACUGAGACACGGUCCAGACUCCUACGGGAGGCAGCAGUGGGGAAUAUUGCACAAUGGGCGCAAGCCUGAUGCAGCCAUGCCGCGUGUGUGAAGAAGGCCUUCGGGUUGUAAAGCACUUUCAGCGGGGAGGCGUUACCCGCAGAAGAAGCACCGGCUAACUCCGUGCCAGCAGCCGCGGUAAUAC
RNAcentral lists this ribosomal RNA (406 nucleotides) under uncultured bacterium. RNAcentral's name for it is "partial 16S ribosomal RNA". It matches the Rfam family "Bacterial small subunit ribosomal RNA", at positions 30 to 526 of the family's 1533-position model. The record is from RNAcentral.